CCUACGGGGGGCAGCAGUAGGGAAUCUUCCACAAUGGGCGAAAGCCUGAUGGAGCAACGCCGCGUGGGUGAAGAAGGUUUUCGGAUCGUAAAACCCUGUUGUUAGAGAAGAAAGUUCGUGAGAGUAACUGUUCACGUUUCGACGGUAUCUAACUAGAAAGCCACGGCUAACUACGUGCCAGCAGCCGCGGUAAUACGUAGGUGGCAAGCGUUGUCCGGAUUUAUUGGGCGUAAAGGGAACGCAGGCGGUCUUAUAAGUCUGAUGGGAAAGCCUUCGGCUUAACCGGAGAAGUGCAUUGGAAACUGUGAGACUUGAGGGCAGAAGAGGAGAGUGGAACUCCAUGUGUAGCGGUGAAAUGCGUAGAUAUAUGGAAGAACACCAGUGGCGAAGGCGGCUCUCUGGUCUGUAACUGACGCUGAGGUUCGAAAGCGUGGGUAGCAAACAGGAUUAGAUACCCCUGUAGUC
This 465-nucleotide ribosomal RNA is filed under the name uncultured bacterium. Its description in RNAcentral is "partial 16S ribosomal RNA". It matches the Rfam family "Bacterial small subunit ribosomal RNA", at positions 338 to 795 of the family's 1533-position model. The record is from RNAcentral.